AUUGAACGCUGGCGGCAUGCCUUACACAUGCAAGUCGAACGGUAACAGGUCUUCGGAUGCUGACGAGUGGCGAACGGGUGAGUAAUACAUCGGAACGCGCCUAGUAGUGGGGGAUAACUACUCGAAAGAGUGGCUGAUACCGCAUGAGAUCUACGGAUGAAAGCAGGGGAUCGCAAGACCUUGUGCUACUAGAGCGGCCGAUGGCAGAUUAGGUAGUUGGUGGGAUAAAAGCUUACCAAGCCGACGAUCUGUAGCUGGUCUGAGAGGACGAACAGCCCAACUGGGACUGAGACACGGUCCAGACUCCUACGGGAGGCAGCAUUGGGGAAUUUUGGACAAUGGGCGAAAGCCUGAUUCAGCAAUGCCGCGUGCAGGAUGAAGGCCUUCGGGUUGUAAACUGCUUUUGUACGGAACGAAAAGCCCUGGGUUAAUACCCUGGGGUCAUGACGGUACCGUAAGAAUAAGCACCGGCUAACUACGUGCCAGCCGCCGCAGUAA
Molecule: ribosomal RNA, 498 nt
Filed under: uncultured bacterium
Lineage: Bacteria
Description: partial 16S ribosomal RNA
Rfam family: Bacterial small subunit ribosomal RNA
Source: RNAcentral